This 574-nucleotide unclassified non-coding RNA is filed under the name Hevea brasiliensis (rubber tree). The record is from RNAcentral. Lineage: Eukaryota; Viridiplantae; Streptophyta; Magnoliopsida; Malpighiales; Euphorbiaceae.
UCUCUCUCUCUCUCUCUCUCGCUCUCUAUUUAUCUACAUCCAAGAAUCACUCCAACAAACCCAUAGCAGAGAUCCUCUUACUUUUCACAGGAAACAAUUGAUAUGGCAUCAAAGAAAGAGAUGGAAGUGGUGAAGGGUGUAGACCUAAAGAGGUACAUGGGGAGAUGGUAUGAAAUAGCUUCAUUCCCAUCAAGAUUUCAGCCCAAGAAUGGAGUGAAUACAAGGGCUACCUACACUUUGAAUGAGGAUGGUACUGUUCAUGUCCUGAAUGAGACAUGGACUGAUGGGAAAAGAGGGUAUAUAGAGGGUACAGCCUACAAGGCUGAUCCCACAAGUGAUGAAGCUAAGCUCAAGGUUAAAUUUUAUGUCCCUCCUUUCUUGCCCAUCAUUCCUGUUGUUGGGGAUUACUGGAUUUUGAUUUUAGAUGACAACUAUAGUUAUGCUUUGAUUGGGCAACCCAGUAGGAAUUACCUUUGGAUUCUUUGCAGGCAAACUCAUCUUGAUGAUGAGAUCUACAACCAGCUGGUGGAGAAGGCCAAAGAAGAAGGGUAUGAUGUGAGCAAGCUACACAAGA